AUCCUUCUGUAGUUCAUAAGUGUGAUGGUUGAGUGUUCACAUGCACACGGGAGAUGUGCCUCCCUCAAAGCUUGUUGUAACGUCGACACAUUACCCAUCUGACA
Nycticebus coucang (slow loris) is the source of this 104-nucleotide small nucleolar RNA. RefSeq annotates it as small nucleolar RNA U13. NCBI's taxonomy places the organism in Eukaryota, Metazoa, Chordata, Mammalia, Primates, Lorisidae. The record is from RefSeq and is a predicted model, not a curated record. The transcript has a single exon.